Molecule: ribosomal RNA, 448 nt
Filed under: uncultured bacterium
Lineage: Bacteria
Description: bacterial SSU rRNA
Rfam family: Bacterial small subunit ribosomal RNA
Source: RNAcentral
UCGGGAAUUUUGGGCAAUGGGGGAAACCCUGACCCAGCAACGCCGCGUGAAGGAUGAAGUAUUUCGGUAUGUAAACUUCGAAAGAAUAGGAAGAAUAAAUGACGGUACUAUUUAUAAGGUCCGGCUAACUACGUGCCAGCAGCCGCGGUAAUACGUAGGGACCAAGCGUUGUUCGGAUUUACUGGGCGUAAAGGGCGCGUAGGCGGCAUGACAAGUCACUUGUGAAAUCUCUGGGCUUAACCCAGAACGGCCAAGUGAUACUGUCGCGCUAGAGUGCAGAAGGGGCAAUCGGAAUUCCCGGUGUAGCGGUGGAAUGCGUAGAGAUCGGGAGGAACAUCGGUGGCGAAGGCGGCCAGCUGGGCCGUUGCUGACGCUGAGGCGCGAAAGCGUGGGGAGCAAACGGGGAUUAGAUACCCUGGUAGUCCCUGAGCGGGCUGGCAAGGCGCAU